RNAcentral lists this ribosomal RNA (429 nucleotides) under Gemmatimonadota bacterium. RNAcentral's name for it is "Gemmatimonadetes bacterium partial 16S ribosomal RNA". It matches the Rfam family "Bacterial small subunit ribosomal RNA", at positions 355 to 776 of the family's 1533-position model. Lineage: Bacteria; Pseudomonadati; Gemmatimonadota. The record is from RNAcentral.
UAGGGAAUCUUCGGCAAUGGACGAAAGUCUGACCGAGCAACGCCGCGUGAGUGAAGAAGGUUUUCGGAUCGUAAAACUCUGUUGUUAGAGAAGAACAAGGACGUUAGUAACUGAACGUCCCCUGACGGUAUCUAACCAGAAAGCCACGGCUAACUACGUGCCAGCAGCCGCGGUAAUACGUAGGUGGCAAGCGUUGUCCGGAUUUAUUGGGCGUAAAGCGAGCGCAGGCGGUUUCUUAAGUCUGAUGUGAAAGCCCCCGGCUCAACCGGGGAGGGUCAUUGGAAACUGGGGGACUUGAGUGCAGAAGAGGGGAGUGGAAUUCCAUGUGUAGCGGUGAAAUGCGUAGAUAUAUGGAGGAACACCAGUGGCGAAGGCGGCUCGCUGGUCUGUAACUGACGCUGAGGCUCGAAAGCGGGGGGAGCAAACAGG